Molecule: transfer RNA, 88 nt
Filed under: Megasphaera paucivorans
Lineage: Bacteria; Bacillati; Bacillota; Negativicutes; Veillonellales; Veillonellaceae
Description: tRNA_Ser_TGA
Rfam family: tRNA
About the family: Transfer RNA (tRNA) molecules are approximately 80 nucleotides in length. Their secondary structure includes four short double-helical elements and three loops (D, anti-codon, and T loops).
Source: RNAcentral
GGAAAGGUGACCGAGUUGGUUUAAGGUACUUGUUUUGAAAGCAAGAGAGCGAAUUGCUCCAUGGGUUCAAAUCCCAUCCUUUCCGCCA